RNAcentral lists this microRNA precursor (87 nucleotides) under Drosophila virilis. RNAcentral's name for it is "microRNA dvi-mir-1 precursor". Its record names the gene dvi-mir-1. The stretch from base 5 to 81 matches the Rfam family "mir-1 microRNA precursor family". From Rfam's summary of the family: This family represents the microRNA (miRNA) mir-1 family. miRNAs are transcribed as ~70nt precursors (modelled here) and subsequently processed by the Dicer enzyme to give a ~22nt product. The record is from miRBase by way of RNAcentral. Lineage: Eukaryota; Metazoa; Arthropoda; Insecta; Diptera; Drosophilidae.
GCCUUUGAGAGUUCCAUGCUUCCUUACAUUCAAUAGUAUUCAAAUAAGCAUAUGGAAUGUAAAGAAGUAUGGAGCGAAAUCUGGCGA